AUCCAGCUGAUGAGUCCCAAAUAGGAUGAAACAUGCGUCAAACUGGAU
This is a non-coding RNA of Schistosoma curassoni, 48 nucleotides long. NCBI's taxonomy places the organism in Eukaryota, Metazoa, Platyhelminthes, Trematoda, Strigeidida, Schistosomatidae. The record is from Rfam.